AGAGUUGAUCCUGGCUCAGAACGAACGCUGGCGGCAUGGAUUAGGCAUGCAAGUCGAACGGGAGCAGCAAUGCUCCAGUGGCGCAAGGGUGAGGAACACGUGAACAGCCUGCCUUCGAGUUGGGGAUAGCUUCUGGAAACGGGAGAUAAUACCGAAUAACACCAUUUGGUCGCAUGACCGGAUGAUCAAAGCAGCAAUGCGCUUGAAGAGGGGUUCGCGUCCCAUUAGCUAGUUGGUGAGGUAACGGCCCACCAAGGCGAUGAUGGGUAGCUGGUCUGAGAGGACGACCAGCCACAUUGGAACUGAGAUACUGCCCAGACUCCUACGGGAGGCUGCAGUCGAGUAAUUUUGGGCAAUGGACGAAAGUCUGAACCCCCAGCAAUGCCGCGUGCGGGAUGAAGGUCUUCGGAUUGUAAACCGCUGUCAAGAGGGACGAAAUAUGACGGUACCUCUGGAGGAAGCCACGGCUAACUACGUGCCAGCCGCCGC
RNAcentral lists this ribosomal RNA (489 nucleotides) under uncultured bacterium. RNAcentral's name for it is "bacterial SSU rRNA". It matches the Rfam family "Bacterial small subunit ribosomal RNA", at positions 8 to 518 of the family's 1533-position model. The record is from RNAcentral.